Non-coding RNA from Podarcis lilfordi (Lilford's wall lizard), 74 nucleotides. The record is from the annotation of a GenBank genome assembly. NCBI's taxonomy places the organism in Eukaryota, Metazoa, Chordata, Lepidosauria, Squamata, Lacertidae.
GCCUGUGUGGUGCAGUGGUUAGAGUGUCGGGCUUAGACCCGGGAGAGACCAGGGUUCAAAUCCCUACUUGGCCA